RNAcentral lists this ribosomal RNA (557 nucleotides) under uncultured bacterium. RNAcentral describes it as "bacterial SSU rRNA". It matches the Rfam family "Bacterial small subunit ribosomal RNA", at positions 89 to 638 of the family's 1533-position model. The record is from RNAcentral.
UGUACAGUGGCGAACGGGUGAGGACUACAUGGGUAACCUACCCUCGAGUGGGGAAUAACUAGCCGAGAGGUUAGCUAAUACCGCGUACGCUUCCGGGACUGCGGUUCCGGAAGGAAAGCGAUACCGUGGGUAUCGCGCUCUUGGAUGGGCUCAUGCCCUAUCAGCUUGUUGGUGAGGUAACGGCUCACCAAGGCUUCGACGGGUAGCUGAUCUGAGAGGAUGAUCAGCCACACUGGCACUGCGACACGGGCCAGACUCCUACGGGAGGCAGCAGUAAGGAAUAUUGCGCAAUGGGCGAAAGCCUGACGCAGCGACGCCGCGUGGGGGAUGAAGGUCUUCGGAUUGUAAACCCCUUUCGGGAGGGAAGAUGGGAUGGGGUAACCCAUUCGGACGGUACCUCCAGAAGCAGCCACGGCUAACUUCGUGCCAGCAGCCGCGGUAAUACGAAGGUGGCAAGCGUUGUUCGGAUUUACUGGGCGUACAGGGAGCGUAGGCGGUUGGGUAAGCCCUCCGUGAAAUCUCCAGGCUUAACCUGGAAAGUGCAGAGGGGACUGCUC